This 554-nucleotide long non-coding RNA is filed under the name Castor canadensis (American beaver). RNAcentral describes it as "lncRNA (ENSCCNG00000014941.1)". Lineage: Eukaryota; Metazoa; Chordata; Mammalia; Rodentia; Castoridae. The record is from RNAcentral.
GGGGAGGCUGAGCCCCUUAGAUUUGCAUUCCUAACACUCUGCAUCCUAUUGUUGGGCUGAAGGAAAAAUCAGCUGUGAAUCAGACAAGCAUGCCAAUUUUUAAGAUGAACAAAAAACCCAUCAGCACAUUUUCUAGAAGAAAUUCUUCAUAAGGUAUUUCCCUUCUACCAUUUUGUGUUUUUUUACAAAAAAUACACUGACAAUAUAAAGUAUUUUCUGAGCUGAAGUCAUUCUGUUCCCAACAGUCUAUUGCCUGUAGAAAAUGGAUGGCACUGGAAAAACAUUGGUCAAAUAGUCAGCAUGACUCCCUUGUUAAGAUUUUGGAGGAACCAUGAAACCCCCUGCUGCCCAGUGAAGGGAUCGCAACUAUAACAAUCUGCACCUGCAUUCAUUUCUGCCAAGUCCAAGCUCACACAACUGUGGAACUUUGCUCAAGGCAUCCAGGAAAAUAGAUUUCUACAUGUCACAUGUCCUCACCAUCUGGGUUAUGCUCACAGCCUCCCCGGAACCAGGAAUAAAAGCCGGCUAUAGUAGUACUCAAUCUAAUUAGCACU